Molecule: ribosomal RNA, 1167 nt
Filed under: Prostebbingia gracilis
Lineage: Eukaryota; Metazoa; Arthropoda; Malacostraca; Amphipoda; Pontogeneiidae
Description: partial 28S ribosomal RNA
Rfam family: Eukaryotic large subunit ribosomal RNA
Source: RNAcentral
CAAGCCCAGCGCAUAAUCUCCCGGGCUACCAAGCUUGCGGCGAAAUGUUGCGUUACGGGAAAGGUCGACUAUAAGCCCUGCACAACGUGUAUCCUAAAUGCGUUUUGAGAUGUCGCGUGGCUUUAACGAGUCAUACGAUGCCAUAGAGGGUGCCAGCCCCGUGUGGACACGUUUAAGUGCUAUGGGUUCGGCUUCUAUUCCCUGAGAGUCGCGUUGCUUAAUAAUGCAGCGCUAAGCAGGACGUAAACUCGUCCUAAGGCUAAAUAUUUCCACAGAACCGAUAGUAAACAAGUACCGUAAGGGAAAGUUGAAAAGCACUCUGAAAAGAGAGUCAAAAGACCGUGAAACCGUUCAGUGUAUAGGCCGAUGGUUGUGAGAAAGCCGGGAUUGCAGGCUUGACCUUAACUGUUUCGUGGGGUUUUAGAGGCGAGGGCUGGCGACUCUUUAAGUGGGUAGGGCAUAUGACCAGCGCGGUGUUUGUUGGGCUAAGUUCUGAAAACGUUGCUUGUCUCGUUAGUAUGAUUGCCCGGCAUGAUCUGUGGCCCUGCUGAAAAGACACCAUUGCGAGUAAUCCCAUACGGCUGACCUACAACUCUUUACGAGGUCACCCACGCGUAAGUGCACACGUGUGUGCUUUGUCGGGCGAGCUGCUGGUGGUCUAUACGUCGAUUUAUAUAUGCUGGUGGCCGGCCGAUACAAUCCAUGUCGCGUGGGCUAUGAUCCUCUGUGAAGGUUGCUAUCUGACUCUGCUGGGCAGAAAUGGUAGUUUUACACCUUCGGUAGUCUAUAGUGGGCUGCGCUGGAGAGUCAAGCCCUGCGGGUGUCGUAUGUCUGGUGGGGAACUGGUUCAACGUCUUUGACCAUCGGUCACGUCUCGAAACACGGGCCAAGGAGCAUAGCAUGCGCGCAAGUCUAAGGGUCCCACAAAACCUGGAGGCGAAGUGAAAGCAAGUAGUGUGUCGACCCUCGGGUUGGCAGCUGGGGUGGUGCGUACUUCCUCCAUUGAUGAUUGCGUCCACCUUGCUUAACCGGACUGAUCCUAAUGCAAUCAAGCCAGUUGGCGUUGCUGGGCGCAAGUCCCAGGCUCUCGUUUGUGUGCGCAGCAUGCGCGGGAGUACUGUUAGCGCGUAUGCUAUGACCCGAAAGAUAGUGAACUAUGCCUGACGA